AACUGAACAUCUUUGAGUUGUGGACAAAACAAGACAUUUGAGGACGUUGCCAUUGGGCUUUGGAAAGCCGCGAUUGAUAUUUG
Molecule: long non-coding RNA, 83 nt
Organism: Etheostoma cragini (Arkansas darter)
Lineage: Eukaryota; Metazoa; Chordata; Actinopteri; Perciformes; Percidae
Exons: 3
Source: RefSeq, a predicted model, not a curated record